AUACGUAGGGGGCGAGCGUUAUCCGGAAUUAUUGGGCGUAAAGAGUACGUAGGCGGUUCUGUAAGCGUGAGGUGAAAGCCCGGGGCUUAACUCCGGUAAGCCUUUCGAACUGCAGGACUUGAGGGCUGGAGGGGGAAGGGGAAUUCCUAGUGUAGCGGUGAAAAGCGUAGAUAUUAGGAGGAACACCAGUGGCGAAGGCGACUUUCUGGACAGUAACUGACGCUGAGGUACGAAAGCGUGGGGAGCAAACAGGAUUAGAUACCCUGGUAGUCCACGCCGUAAACGAUGAGCACUAGGUGUCGGGGCAGCAAUGUUUCGGUGCCGCAGUUAACGCAAUAAGUGCUCCGCCUGGGGAGUACGCACGCAAGUGUGAAACUCAAAUGAAUUGACGGGG
This 394-nucleotide ribosomal RNA is filed under the name uncultured bacterium. RNAcentral's name for it is "partial 16S ribosomal RNA". It matches the Rfam family "Bacterial small subunit ribosomal RNA", at positions 523 to 918 of the family's 1533-position model. The record is from RNAcentral.